RNAcentral lists this non-coding RNA (24 nucleotides) under Arabidopsis thaliana (thale cress). The record is from RNAcentral. Lineage: Eukaryota; Viridiplantae; Streptophyta; Magnoliopsida; Brassicales; Brassicaceae.
GACAAGUUGAAGGAGUCUGUGGUC